This 344-nucleotide unclassified non-coding RNA is filed under the name soil metagenome. Its description in RNAcentral is "partial contains 5.8S ribosomal RNA, internal transcribed spacer 2, and large subunit ribosomal RNA". The stretch from base 1 to 120 matches the Rfam family "5.8S ribosomal RNA", at positions 35 to 154 of the family's 154-position model. The record is from RNAcentral.
GAUGAAGAACGUAGCGAAAUGCGAUAAGUAGUGUGAAUUGCAGAAUUCAGUGAAUCAUCGAAUCUUUGAACGCACAUUGCGCCCGCCAGUAUUCUGGCGGGCAUGCCUGUUCGAGCGUCAUUUCCACCAUCAGGCCCCCGGGCCUGUGUUGGGGACCUGCGGCUGCCCGCAGGCCCCGAAAUUCAAUGGCGGUCGCGCCGUAGCAACCGAGCGUAGUAACUAAAACGUCUCGCUCUGGCUCGCUGGGCGCGCUCCGGCCGUAAAACACCCCCCCUUUUCGCAAAGGUUGACCUCGGAUCAGGUAGGAAUACCCGCUGAACUUAAGCAUAUCAAUAAGCGGAGGA